UACAGAGGGGGCAAGCGUUGUUCGGAAUUACUGGGCGUAAAGGGCGCGUAGGCGGCCUGCUAAGUCGAACGUGAAAUCCCCGGGCUCAACCCGGGAACUGCGUCCGAUACUGGCAGGCUUGAAUUCGGGAGAGGGAUGCGGAAUUCCAGGUGUAGCGGUGAAAUGCGUAGGUAUCUGGAGGAACACCGGUGGCGAAGGCGGCAUCCUGGACCGAAAUUGACGCUGAGGCGCGAAAGCCAGGGGAGCAAACGGG
This 253-nucleotide ribosomal RNA is filed under the name uncultured bacterium. Its description in RNAcentral is "partial 16S ribosomal RNA". It matches the Rfam family "Bacterial small subunit ribosomal RNA", at positions 524 to 776 of the family's 1533-position model. The record is from RNAcentral.